This 253-nucleotide ribosomal RNA is filed under the name uncultured bacterium. Its description in RNAcentral is "partial 16S ribosomal RNA". It matches the Rfam family "Bacterial small subunit ribosomal RNA", at positions 524 to 776 of the family's 1533-position model. The record is from RNAcentral.
UACGUAGGGGGCAAGCGUUGUCCGGAAUCAUUGGGCGUAAAGCGCGUGUAGGCGGCCCGGUAAGUCCGCUGUGAAAGUCCAGGGCUCAACCCUGGAAUGCCGGUGGAUACUGUCGGGCUCGAAUCCGGAAGAGGUGAGUGGAAUUCCUGGUGUAGCGGUGAAAUGCGCAGAUAUCAGGAGGAACACCAAGGGCGAAGGCAGCUCACUGGGACGGUAUUGACGCUGAGACGCGAAAGCGUGGGGAGCAAACAGG